RNAcentral lists this ribosomal RNA (594 nucleotides) under Pseudomonas fulva. RNAcentral's name for it is "bacterial SSU rRNA". It matches the Rfam family "Bacterial small subunit ribosomal RNA", at positions 156 to 727 of the family's 1533-position model. Lineage: Bacteria; Pseudomonadati; Pseudomonadota; Gammaproteobacteria; Pseudomonadales; Pseudomonadaceae. The record is from RNAcentral.
ACCGGCUAAAUUACCGCAUACUUCCUACGGGAGAAAGCACCGGGACCUUCGGGCCUUGCGCUAUCAGAUGAGCCUAGGUCGGAUUAGCUUGUUGGUGAGGUAAUGGCUCACCAAGGCGACGAUCCGUAACUGGUCUGAGAGGAUGAUCAGUCACACUGGAACUGAGACACGGUCCAGACUCCUACGGGAGGCAGCAGUGGGGAAUAUUGGACAAUGGGCGAAAGCCUGAUCCAGCCAUGCCGCGUGUGUGAAGAAGGUCUUCGGAUUGUAAAGCACUUUAAGUUGGGAGGAAGGGUUGUAGAUUAAUACUCUGCAAUUUUGACGUUACCGACAGAAUAAGCACCGGCUAACUCUGUGCCAGCAGCCGCGGUAAUACAGAGGGGUGCAAGCGUUAAUCGGAAUUACUGGGCGUAAAAGCGCGCCGUAGGUGGUUUGUUAAGUUGGAUGUGAAAAGCCCCGGGGCUCCACCCUGGGGAACUGCCUUCCAAAACUGGCAAGCUUAAAGUACGGAAGAGGGUGGGUGGAAAUUUCCCUGUGGAAGGGUGAAAAUGGCGUAAAAUAUUGGAAGGAAACACCAAUGGCGAAGGGCGACCC